UUAAUAGAGAGUUUGAUCCUGGCUCAGGACGAACGCUGGCGGCGUGCCUAACACAUGCAAGUCGAACGGGGCUACGCGCGGCACGGAGUGCUGUGCAGAGG
RNAcentral lists this ribosomal RNA (101 nucleotides) under Oscillospiraceae bacterium. Its description in RNAcentral is "partial 16S ribosomal RNA". It matches the Rfam family "Bacterial small subunit ribosomal RNA", at positions 1 to 104 of the family's 1533-position model. Lineage: Bacteria; Bacillati; Bacillota; Clostridia; Eubacteriales; Oscillospiraceae. The record is from RNAcentral.